GACGAACGCUGGCGGCGUGCCUAAUACAUGCAAGUAGAACGCACAGUUUAUACCGUAGCUUGCUACACCAUAGACUGUGAGUUGCGAACGGGUGAGUAACGCGUAGGUAACCUGCCUGGUAGCGGGGGAUAACUAUUGGAAACGAUAGCUAAUACCGCAUAAUAUUGAUUAUUGCAUGAUAAUUGAUUAAAAGAUGCAACUGCAUCACUACCAGAUGGACCUGCGUUGUAUUAGCUAGUAGGUGAGGUAACGGCUCACCUAGGCGACGAUACAUAGCCGACCUGAGAGGGUGAUCGGCCACACUGGGACUGAGACACGGCCCAGACUCCUACGGGAGGCAGCAGUAGGGAAUCUUCGGCAAUGGACGAAAGUCUGACCGAGCAACGCCGCGUGAGUGAAGAAGGUUUUCGGAUCGUAAAGCUCUGUUGUAAGAGAAGAAUGAGUGUGAGAGUGGAAAGUUCACACUGUGACGGUAUCUUACCAGAAAGGGACGGCUAA
This 498-nucleotide ribosomal RNA is filed under the name Streptococcus gordonii. Its description in RNAcentral is "bacterial SSU rRNA". It matches the Rfam family "Bacterial small subunit ribosomal RNA", at positions 28 to 500 of the family's 1533-position model. The record is from RNAcentral. Lineage: Bacteria; Bacillati; Bacillota; Bacilli; Lactobacillales; Streptococcaceae.